This 497-nucleotide ribosomal RNA is filed under the name uncultured bacterium. Its description in RNAcentral is "partial 16S ribosomal RNA". It matches the Rfam family "Bacterial small subunit ribosomal RNA", at positions 28 to 507 of the family's 1533-position model. The record is from RNAcentral.
GAUGAACGCUGGCGGCGUGCCUAAUACAUGCAAGUCGAGCGAACGAACGCGUUGCUUGCUUCUGUGAUGUUAUCGGCGGACAAGGGAGUAGUAAGUGGUUAACCUACCUAUACGACUGUGUUAACAUCGGGAAACCAGAGCUACUACCGGGUAAUAUUUUGAACCUCUUGGUUGAAGAGUGAAGGACGGUCUUGCUGUCGCUUAUAGAUGGAUCCGCGGUGCAUUAGCUAGUUGGUAAGGUAACGGCUUACCAAGGCGGCGAUGAAUAGCCGACCUGAGAGGGUGGUCGGCCACAAUGGAACUGCUGCGAGGUCCAGACUCCUACGGGAGGCAGCAGUAGGGAAUCUUCCGGCACGGUCGAAAGACGGAUGGUGCAACGACGCGGGGGGGAUGAAGGUCGUCGGAUCGUAAAAAUCCGCUAUUAGGGAAGAAGAAAUGUGUAAGUGACUGUGCAUAUCUUGACGGUAGCUAAUCAGAAAGCCACGGCUAACUACGUG